GUGCCAGCCGCCGCGGUAAUACGUAGGGUGCAGGCGUUAAUCGGAAUUACUGGGCGUAAAGCGUACGCAGGCGGUUUGCUAAGACAGGUGUGAAAUCCCCGGGCUUAACCUGGGAACUGCGCUUGUUACUGGCAAGCUAGAGUGUGGCAGAGGGGGGUAGAAUUCCAGGUGUAGCAGUGAAAUGCGUAGAUAUCUGGAGGAAUACCGAUGGCGAAGGCAGCCCCCUGGGUUAACACUGACGCUCAUGUACGAAAGCGUGGGGAGCAAACAGGAUUAGAUACCCCCGUAGUCC
Molecule: ribosomal RNA, 292 nt
Filed under: uncultured bacterium
Lineage: Bacteria
Description: partial 16S ribosomal RNA
Rfam family: Bacterial small subunit ribosomal RNA
Source: RNAcentral